GGGGAGAGGAGGAAGCUAAACAAUGAUUUGCUAAAUUUGAAAGAAACCCAACUUUUCACAUGAUACCCAACCUUUCCCGAACGCAACAUUCUCUGCCCCGUUCUGUUCUCCAAUUUUCCAGCUGGAGCCAUCCCGAGCAAGUGGUGUCAUCAGCUCAACUAAAAAUACUUCCUUCGUCUUGGCUGUACAGUGGCCUGUGGGCUUUCUGCAUUUUGGCUGGAUUUUACCAAAAGGAGUGACUCAGCCUCUUACAAGCCUUUGCUGCAAGUGUUACUAUAGCUGAUGGCUACGGAAACCCCUUUCACAUGGGCUCUUUCGGGACCAGGAGUUCAGUUAGGUAAACCCCUCGGUGUCUUCUGGAAACAGAACGGUUAUCGAAGCUCCAACUAUGUCGGUCGGGUUAAACUUUGACCAACUCAGGUGACCGGUCAGUCGAGCUCAAAACCUUGCGGAAUACUUCGUAUCAGCCGAGACCACACACCCAGAUUCCUGGAGCAUGUCUGGUGUUUGUAAUCAAACAUAACCCCAGAAUGUUUGCUCUCCUAAGUAGUGGAGACACGUUCUUCUCAGUUGAAAGCUUUGUGUCUUACUCAACAAGGUCUGUAUCUGAACUAUGUUAAAGGUGCAUAGUAAAGGGAUGAUAUCACAGGGUUGCUUUGAUUCUUUGAGCUCUUGUGCUGAGCUGAAGUUGAGCAGUGACAAUGAGUCAUGUCGUCUUGUGACCGGCCGGGCACUUUCCCAAUCAGAGAGACUGUUGAGAUCUUAGACAAUAGAACCUGGGGUUGUUUGAAGAGGAGGGAUCCACAGAACCCGUAUGCUUGGUGACACCAGGCUUGUAUGGGAGAGUGCCCACUGGCAUUUCCUGGCACAGUGAGGACAGCGCUGCGACAUGAUCUGCACUUGGCCACUUGUGUGGGAUGUGGGGCAAUGGCCACCAGAACGAAGAGGGAGGAAAACUGAGCAAACUGUUGGAGGUGAAGUCAGUCUACCAUUCUGAAGCACCAGAGUCAAGCAUUCCAUCGGAUGGAUGGUUUUCACUUACGGCUUCAAAGACCCACAAUGGCUGAAGCUCCGCGAAGACGUGUUCAAGACUUUGAAGCAAGCUUUUCGUAAACGGCCGCCUGGGAAGCCUGAUUGGAGGCCUAGCUUCAAACCUCAGAACAGGCAGGACGUGCUGCGGCUGCACGAGGCGCCUGGGCUCCCGGGCGUUGGGAUGUACUUCAGGAGGCCUCUCUCUCGAGCAGUUCCGGUGAGUUCCCAGGUGUCCCAACUGGGCUCUAACCCCGGCCAGGGCCGCCCUCUGGAACGCCGUCAUUCCCCUUGCCCCGCACACAUUGGGUUUCGUCUCCAACGAGAGAAAAUCCUGGAAAUCCGGCAUUGUUUGGCCCCUUUUCUCACUAACCUAUCCAGGCUUUUCAGAAAUCUCCCCGCUCCAUUCUAAACAGGAAGUUUCAGCAGGCAGUGGUACCAAUGGCAUUGCAUUGUGUGGGAUGUCACCUAUUGUUAUCGGAACAAAGACGUCCUGAAAUCGGGACAAAGCCUUCAAAUCCGCCAGGGUCCCGGAGCCUUCAAUAGCCUGGCAUUGUGUCUGGAGGGUGAUUGAGUGAAUUGGGUCACUCCAAGAAUAUACCUAAGCUUCCGAAACUCUGCUAUUAUCGUUAGGGCUGCUGGGACGGGGCUGCACACGGCGUAUGCAAAUAGUAUGACAGUAGCUGUUCUCUCUGCUCUGCAUAAAUGCAAAGCAGAGAUUUCUCAACAGAUGUGGUUACCUGCACGGGCAUACAUAAACGGGGGGAAAUGUCUGCGGAACGAUCCGUCACUCACUCAAUCCUUCUACCAGGAACGUGUUAGGAAAAGCAGAAUAGCCUUUAGCCAAAAGUGCACGUGAAGUUUCUCUUUCGAAACACUGUGCGUGAGCCGUGUGAUUCUCCAGCUUUUAAGGCCCGAUGACCGUAAGAGUGUAGACGUUUCAUAUUCCGUUGGCAAGAAAUCCCGCGUUACAGGAGACCGACUGGCGUCACCAGGAGAGGGACCGUGAGGUCCCUCUCACGUAGCCGCCGGCGCUUGCACCCCCGGCUUCUCAUCGCGAAGAAGUUCCGAGCGUGGGUUUUGGUACGACGAACUGUGUUUCUAAAUCGAAACUGACCCCCAUCGAGACAGGGUUGCGUGGAGCAGUGUUUUUCUUUAUCUCAACAGCGAAGCCGCUAAAGCAAGUCUCAAAAAUGUCAUCUGAGGCU
Lynx canadensis (Canada lynx) is the source of this 2237-nucleotide long non-coding RNA. RefSeq lists it as uncharacterized. The record is from RefSeq and is a predicted model, not a curated record. Lineage: Eukaryota; Metazoa; Chordata; Mammalia; Carnivora; Felidae. The transcript is spliced from 4 exons.